CCUUCGGGGGAACGAUAACGGCGUCGAGCGGCGGACGGGUGAGUAAUGCCUAGGAAAUUGCCCUGAUGUGGGGGAUAACCAUUGGAAACGAUGGCUAAUACCGCAUGAUGCCUACGGGCCAAAGAGGGGGACCUUCGGGCCUCUCGCGUCAGGAUAUGCCUAGGUGGGAUUAGCUAGUUGGUGAGGUAAGGGCUCACCAAGGCGACGAUCCCUAGCUGGUCUGAGAGGAUGAUCAGCCACACUGGAACUGAGACACGGUCCAGACUCCUACGGGAGGCAGCAGUGGGGAAUAUUGCACAAUGGGCGCAAGCCUGAUGCAGCCAUGCCGCGUGUGUGAAGAAGGCCUUCGGGUUGUAAAGUACUUUCAGUCGUGAGGAAGGUGGUAGUGUUAAUAGCACUAUCAUUUGACGUUAGCGACAGAAGAAGCACCGGCUAACUCCGUGCCAGCAGCCGCGGUAAUACGGAGGGUGCGAGCGUUAAUCGGAAUUACUGGGCGUAAAGCGCAUGCA
RNAcentral lists this ribosomal RNA (509 nucleotides) under Vibrio parahaemolyticus. RNAcentral describes it as "bacterial SSU rRNA". It matches the Rfam family "Bacterial small subunit ribosomal RNA", at positions 77 to 573 of the family's 1533-position model. The record is from RNAcentral. Lineage: Bacteria; Pseudomonadati; Pseudomonadota; Gammaproteobacteria; Vibrionales; Vibrionaceae.